RNAcentral lists this transfer RNA (63 nucleotides) under Mashaselasia aethiopica. RNAcentral's name for it is "tRNA-Phe". Lineage: Eukaryota; Metazoa; Arthropoda; Insecta; Coleoptera; Elateridae. The record is from RNAcentral.
AUUUUAAUAGCUUAUUUAGAGCAUGAUAGUGAAGUUAUCAAGGAGACUUUAUGUCUUAAAAUA